Molecule: signal recognition particle RNA, 99 nt
Filed under: [Clostridium] cellulosi
Lineage: Bacteria; Bacillati; Bacillota; Clostridia; Eubacteriales; Oscillospiraceae
Description: Clostridium cellulosi Bacterial small signal recognition particle RNA
Rfam family: Bacterial small signal recognition particle RNA
About the family: The signal recognition particle (SRP) is a universally conserved ribonucleoprotein involved in the co-translational targeting of proteins to membranes.
Source: Rfam by way of RNAcentral
GAGGGCAGCCCGUGCGGCGGCGUGCCGUGAACCAUGUCAGGCGGGGAACCGAGCAGCAUUAAGCGGAUUUCGCCGGGCGCCGCGGGAUUUGUCUUUGCC